CAAGGGGUGAACUCAACACUUAUUUCCAAUGAUUAUUGAUAUGCACAUAUCUUUAUUGGCUAUUGGUUUCUCUGACCAAUUUUUGUAAUCUGGUUCUAGUUAAGUAAUAUAAAAUUCUGUAUAGCCUCACCUCAGAUUGUAAUAUAUUAAGUUUCUUUAACAGUCUAGAAGCACGAUGGUUUGAAAAUGGUCCUGGAACUUCCUUUGUCAACCUAAGCUACUUGCCUGCAAUCUUGAACUCAUCUUGUCUCCACAAGCAUUCUUACCUUGCUGAUGUGUCAAGGCAGAAUACUGGUACACAUAUUUGCAAGGUGUGGCUGGACCAAAUUGAAUACUGUCAUGUUAAUACAAGAUUGGCACAUGUUACUUGUGGUCAUUUUGUUAAGACAACUGCAAGUGGUUCUGUUGAAUGUGAAUUUUGUUGCUGCAACUGUGAGACGAAAACUAGAUGCACUUUCCAUGUAAAAAUAAUUGUGGCUGAUGAUAGUGGUAAAGUCUUUGCAUGGUGUAUUGGUCAAAAUGCGAUUGAACUACUGCAAAUAUCUCCAGAUGAAUUCUAUGAAUUGCCUGAGGAGGAACAAGUUAUUUACCCAUGUUCGCUGGAGAACGAAAGAUACAUGAUAGCAAUUGUGAACUGUGGUCAGCAGGAAACCAUCUUCAAGGAAUGUGUGACUGCAGAAAAUGAGAUGGUAUACUUCAUCUUCGUUUCAAAUUUCUGAUUUGCUUAUUGAAUUGCAAUAAAAAUCCCAACCUUGUAUUUUAUUUUAUUGUAUAUUUUAUUUUUU
Molecule: long non-coding RNA, 785 nt
Organism: Chenopodium quinoa (quinoa)
Lineage: Eukaryota; Viridiplantae; Streptophyta; Magnoliopsida; Caryophyllales; Amaranthaceae
Exons: 3
Source: RefSeq, a predicted model, not a curated record